AUGCAGAUGACGAGUCUCAAACAGGACGAAAUGCGCGUCAUCCUGGAU
This 48-nucleotide non-coding RNA is filed under the name Trichobilharzia regenti. The record is from RNAcentral. Lineage: Eukaryota; Metazoa; Platyhelminthes; Trematoda; Strigeidida; Schistosomatidae.